AGUCAAGCGUUCGGAACCAGAGACGCUCGUUGCGAACGAACCCCACUUCCCACGGCAGACCGCACGCAGCCCCACUCCCCUAUCCAUUCCCCCACUCCGGACCCCAUUCCUCUUGCCACAUCGAGGUCCUCGCCGGCGACCCGGCGACGAGCGCAAGGGGACGGCGAGGAGAGGUCCUGGCCGGUGACCCGGCGACGAGCGCGAGGGGACGGCGAGGAGAGGACCUGGCCGACGACCCGGCAACGAGCGCGAGAGGGCGAGGAGGAGAGGUCCUGGCCGACGACAGACUCGCCCGCCCGCUCCUCCGACGACGGAGCGCACGACAAGGGCACAACAGAGUGGCGGGGGGAGCCUGUCGAGGGCCCGACGAGAUGAUGUCCUGGCCGGCGACGGACUCGCCCGGCCACUCCUUCGACGAUCAGCUGGAGGUCGCCAGCGUCCACAUCGUCGUCGUCCGCAACGCCGGCGGCCUCGAUGCUUGGGGCUGGGCUUGCCUCCGCUGCACCGCCCUCUGCACAAGGAGGUGCAGAGCGACACACCAUCCCAGGCGUAGCGCCCUACCCCCGGGCGGUGCGGCUCAUCCAAUUCGGAGAGCUUCAGUUCCCUCGACAGACCGGCGACGAGCUACGUGCGGGGUGAGAACCCAAUGUUCAGAAACCUGAAACCUGACUACUAGUUCAUGCAAAACCCAAUGUUCAGAACCGAAGUAGUUGCUAUUUUGUUCCUCUCUGGAACCUGACCAUAUUUGUGCACUUCAUGCAAAAUCACUAGAUCCUAGAUUCCUAACCUAUCUACCAUUUCAAUUUUCUUAUCAUGAUGUUUAGCAAAACAUGCCAAUUUCUUACAUUAUUACAAAUUCUUACACCAUGGCAACUUUUAUAAUUGAUAGUUCAUUCACAUGACAAUUUUCUUGAUAGUUUUUGUACUAACAUCAUGGCCCAUCUCAGAUUUAGUGUUUUCUAUUGGUCAUAUAGCAAAUUUAGGCUUUUUUUAGUAACUACGUGUCAUAUGGUCAUAUGGCAAUGAGGUGAUCAUUUGCAUUUUAAGAUGUCUUGUUUUCUGGUCAUAUGGCCAUAUAGGCUUUUUGUUAGUAACUAUGUGUCAUAUGGUCAUAUGGCCAUUACCUAGUUUAAUUAGAUAUAUCAAAAGUUUCCGAAGUUGCCAUGGCAACAAAUGUAAAAGCUUCUGAAGUUGUCUCCCUCCUUUACACAUGGCUACUUUCUUUUACUUACUUACAUUUUUGCAAUUUUAUUCUACAAUCCGUGGCGAUAUUCUUUUAAAUAACAUGACAAUUUUAAUAUGCAUUUUCAC
Molecule: ribosomal RNA, 1311 nt
Filed under: Triticum aestivum (bread wheat)
Lineage: Eukaryota; Viridiplantae; Streptophyta; Magnoliopsida; Poales; Poaceae
Description: partial small subunit ribosomal RNA
Source: RNAcentral